CCCUUAGAUGUCCUGGGCCGCACGCGCGCUACACUGAGUGUCUGAGAUACGAGUCUGCCUGGUCCGGCAAGGUCUAGGUAAUCGCUAAAAGACACAUCAUGCUUGGGAUAGAUUAUUGCAAAUAUUAAUCUUGAACGAGGAAUUCCUAGUAAGCGCAAGUCAACAGCUUGCGUUUAUUACGUCCCUGCCCUUUGUACACACCGCCCGUCGCUACUACUGAUUGGAUGUUUAAGCGAGGUUCUCGAACUGCUAGCGACUUAGCUUCGGUGAGGUCGCAGUGUGGGAAGUGAACCUAGCUUUGGUGUCUAGAGGAGGUAAAAGUCGUAACA
Molecule: ribosomal RNA, 329 nt
Filed under: uncultured eukaryote
Lineage: Eukaryota
Description: partial 18S ribosomal RNA
Rfam family: Eukaryotic small subunit ribosomal RNA
Source: RNAcentral